RNAcentral lists this ribosomal RNA (407 nucleotides) under uncultured bacterium. RNAcentral describes it as "partial 16S ribosomal RNA". It matches the Rfam family "Bacterial small subunit ribosomal RNA", at positions 28 to 526 of the family's 1533-position model. The record is from RNAcentral.
GACGAACGCUGGCGGCGUGCCUAAUACAUGCAAGUAGGACGCAGUUGCGAACGGGUGAGUAACGCGUAGGUAAAUGCCUCUUAGAGGGGGAUAACUAUUGGAAACGAUAGCUAAUACCGCAUACUAGUAGAUGGACCUGCGUUGUAUUAGCUAGUAGGUAGGGUAAUGGCCUACCUAGGGGACGAUACAUAACCGACCGGGGAGGGGGAUCCGCCAAACCGGGACUGAGACACGGCCCAGAAUCCUUCGGGAGGCAGCAGUAGGGAAUCUUCGGCCAUGGGGGGAACCCUGACCGCGCAACGCCGCGUGAGUGAAGAAGGUUUUCGGAUCGUAAAGCUCUGUUGUUAAGGAAGCGGUACUUAACCAGAAAGGGACGGCUAACUACGUGCCAGCAGCCGCGGUAAUUC